RNAcentral lists this ribosomal RNA (887 nucleotides) under uncultured Thermococcales archaeon. Its description in RNAcentral is "bacterial SSU rRNA". It matches the Rfam family "Archaeal small subunit ribosomal RNA", at positions 22 to 903 of the family's 1478-position model. Lineage: Archaea; Methanobacteriati; Methanobacteriota; Thermococci; Thermococcales. The record is from RNAcentral.
GGCCACUGCUAUGGGGGUCCGACUAAGCCAUGCGAGUCAUGGGGCGCGCUCUGCGCGCACCGGCGGACGGCUCAGUAACACGUCGGUAACCUACCCUCGGGAGGGGGAUAACCCCGGGAAACUGGGGCUAAUCCCCCAUAGGCCUGAGGUACUGGAAGGUCCUCAGGCCGAAAGGGGCAUCUGCCCGCCCGAGGAUGGGCCGGCGGCCGAUUAGGUAGUUGGUGGGGUAACGGCCCACCAAGCCGAAGAUCGGUACGGGCCAUGAGAGUGGGAGCCCGGAGAUGGACACUGAGACACGGGUCCAGGCCCUACGGGGCGCAGCAGGCGCGAAACCUCCGCAAUGCGGGAAACCGCGACGGGGGGACCCCCAGUGCCGUGGCAUCGCCACGGCUUUUCCGGAGUGUAAAGAGCUCCGGGAAUAAGGGCUGGGCAAGGCCGGUGGCAGCCGCCGCGGUAAUACCGGCGGCCCGAGUGGUGGCCGUUAUUAUUGGGCCUAAAGCGUCCGUAGCCGGGCCCGUAAGUCCCUGGCGAAAUCCCACGGCUCAACCGUGGGGCUUGCUGGGGAUACUGCGGGCCUUGGGACCGGGAGAGGCGGAGGGUACUCCUGGGGUAGGGGUGAAAUCCUAUAAUCCCAGGAGGACCGCCAGUGGCGAAGGCGCUCCGCUGGAACGGGUCCGACGGUGAGGGACGAAGGCCAGGGGAGCGAACCGGAUUAGAUACCCGGGUAGUCCUGGCUGUAAAGGAUGCGGGCUAGGUGUCGGGCGAGCUUCGAGCUCGCCCGGUGCCGAAGGGAAGCCGUUAAGCCCGCCGCCUGGGGAGUACGGCCGCAAGGCUGAAACUUAAAGGAAUUGGCGGGGGAGCACUACAAGGGGUGGAGCGUGCGGUUU